CCUACGGGUGGCUGCAGUGGGGAAUAUUGGACAAUGGGCGAAAGCCUGAUCCAGCCAUGCCGCGUGUGUGAAGAAGGCCUUCGGGUUGUAAAGCACUUUCAGUGGGGAAGAAAGCCUUGGGGCUAAUACCCUCGAGGAAGGACAUCACCCACAGAAGAAGCACCGGCUAACUCCGUGCCAGCAACCGCGGUAAUACGGAGGGUGCGAGCGUUAAUCGGAAUUACUGGGCGUAAAGCGCGCGUAGGCGGUCUGAUAAGCCGGUUGUGAAAGCCCCGGGCUCAACCUGGGAACGGCAUCCGGAACUGUCAGGCUAGAGUGCAGGAGAGGAAGGUAGAAUUCCCGGUGUAGCGGUGAAAUGCGUAGAGAUCGGGAGGAAUACCAGUGGCGAAGGCGGCCUUCUGGACUGACACUGACGCUGAGGUGCGAAAGCGUGGGUAGCAAACAGGAUUAGAUACCCGAGUAGUC
Molecule: ribosomal RNA, 465 nt
Filed under: Vreelandella stevensii
Lineage: Bacteria; Pseudomonadati; Pseudomonadota; Gammaproteobacteria; Oceanospirillales; Halomonadaceae
Description: partial 16S ribosomal RNA
Rfam family: Bacterial small subunit ribosomal RNA
Source: RNAcentral